UACGAAGGGUGCAAACGUUGCUCGGAAUUAUUGGGCGUAAAGCGCACGUAGGCGGCUUAGCAAGUCGGAAGUGAAAUCCCUCGGCUCAACCAAGGAAGUGCUUUCGAAACUGCUGAGCUUGAGUACUUAAGAGGAUCGCGGAAUUCCCGGUGUAGAGGUGAAAUUCGUAGAUAUCGGGAGGAACACCAGUGGCGAAGGCGGCGAUCUGGGAAGAUACUGACGCUGAGGUGCGAAAGCGUGGGGAGCGAACAGG
RNAcentral lists this ribosomal RNA (253 nucleotides) under uncultured bacterium. Its description in RNAcentral is "partial 16S ribosomal RNA". It matches the Rfam family "Bacterial small subunit ribosomal RNA", at positions 524 to 776 of the family's 1533-position model. The record is from RNAcentral.